Aedes aegypti (yellow fever mosquito) is the source of this 302-nucleotide long non-coding RNA. RefSeq lists it as uncharacterized. The transcript has 2 exons. Lineage: Eukaryota; Metazoa; Arthropoda; Insecta; Diptera; Culicidae. The record is from RefSeq and is a predicted model, not a curated record.
UUUUUGAUGUAUUUCAAUAAUAGAUCUUAAAACACGAUAAGGUUUUGCAUGACCACACUGAGUUUUCUCUUGACUGCAUUGAGAUAAAGCGAAAAAGGUUUCUUGUGUUGCUAGGAAAAAGGAGCAAAUAGAGGGUGCCGUGGGCAAAAUAGUUGACCAACCGUUUCACCUGUAAUCAGUUAACCUUUGCUUUAUCGUGAUGUAUUGAUAAGUGACUGUUAUUUUUUCUGUGUUAUCCUGUUUUAGCAUCUGGUAGUGAUUGUUUUUCUUUAUUUAGCUUCUGAUCGGAUUGAUUUCUUAUU